RNAcentral lists this ribosomal RNA (497 nucleotides) under uncultured bacterium. RNAcentral's name for it is "partial 16S ribosomal RNA". It matches the Rfam family "Bacterial small subunit ribosomal RNA", at positions 28 to 507 of the family's 1533-position model. The record is from RNAcentral.
GAUGAACGCUGGCGGCGUGCCUAAUACAUGCAAGUCGAGCGAACAGACGAGGAGCUUGCUCCUCUGACGUUAGCGGCGGACGGGUGAGUAACACGUGGAUAACCUACCUAUAAGACUGGGAUAACUUCGGGAAACCGGAGCUAAUACCGGAUAAUAUAUUGAACCGCAUGGUUCAAUAGUGAAAGACGGUUUUGCUGUCACUUAUAGAUGGGUCCGCGCCGCAUUAGCUAGUUGGUAAGGUAACGGCUUACCAAGGCAACGAUGCGUAGCCGACCUGAGAGGGUGAUCGGCCACACUGGAACUGAGACACGGUCCAGACUCCUACGGGAGGCAGCAGUAGGGAAUCUUCCGCAAUAGGCGAAAGCCUGACGGAGCAACGCCGCGUGAGUGAUGAAGGUCUUCGGAUCGUAAAACUCUGUUAUUAGGGAAGAACAAAUGUGUAAGUAACUAUGCACGUCUUGACGGUACCUAAUCAGAAAGCCACGGCUAACUACGUG